AUUGAACGCUGGCGGAAUGCUUUACACAUGCAAGUCGAACGGCAGCACGGGGCAACCUGGUGGCGAGUAGCGAACGGGUGAGUAAUACAUCGGAACGUGCCCAAUCGUGGGGGAUAACGUAGCGAAAGUUACGCUAAUACCGCAUACGAUCUACGGAUGAAAGCGGGGGAUCGCAAGACCUCGCGCGAAUGGAGCGGCCGAUGUCAGAUUAGGUAGUUGGUGGGGUAAAGGCUCACCAAGCCGACGAUCUGUAGCUGGUCUGAGAGGACGACCAGCCACACUGGGACUGAGACACGGCCCAGACUCCUACGGGAGGCAGCAGUGGGGAAUUUUGGACAAUGGGCGCAAGCCUGAUCCAGCCAUUCCGCGUGCAGGAUGAAGGCCUUCGGUUGUAAAC
RNAcentral lists this ribosomal RNA (397 nucleotides) under uncultured bacterium. RNAcentral describes it as "bacterial SSU rRNA". It matches the Rfam family "Bacterial small subunit ribosomal RNA", at positions 30 to 430 of the family's 1533-position model. The record is from RNAcentral.